Molecule: long non-coding RNA, 206 nt
Filed under: Elaeis guineensis (African oil palm)
Lineage: Eukaryota; Viridiplantae; Streptophyta; Magnoliopsida; Arecales; Arecaceae
Description: long non-coding RNA (EGUI_LNC028850)
Source: RNAcentral
UUCUCAGCAACCACUUUAAACAGCACAAAAAUAGAAACUGUUGUUUUAUCUAACACCUUCAAAUAUAUCUUAUACCUAUAUUAUGAAAGCAAUAUGUAAAACUUCUGACAGCACAUAAAUCCCACUAAAUAUUAUGAAAAAUAAACUUUAGAUUACUUGACCAAAAGAAACUUGCAUUCCUUAUUACAAGCAUCACAAAUGUACAC